GGCAAGAUGGCCGAGCGGUCUAAGGCGCCAGACUCAAGAGAUAAUCUUGCUUACUACAAGUAGGUCCUUCUGGUAUCGAAAGAUGCGUGGGUUCAAAUCCCACUCUUGUCA
RNAcentral lists this transfer RNA (111 nucleotides) under Coniella lustricola. It matches the Rfam family "tRNA". Rfam says of the family: Transfer RNA (tRNA) molecules are approximately 80 nucleotides in length. Their secondary structure includes four short double-helical elements and three loops (D, anti-codon, and T loops). Further hydrogen bonds mediate the characteristic L-shaped molecular structure. tRNAs have two regions of fundamental functional importance: the anti-codon, which is responsible for specific mRNA codon recognition, and the 3' end, to which the tRNAs corresponding amino acid is attached (by aminoacyl-tRNA synthetases). tRNAs cope with the degeneracy of the genetic code in two manners: having more than one tRNA (with a specific anti-codon) for a particular amino acid; and 'wobble' base-pairing, i.e. permitting non-standard base-pairing at the 3rd anti-codon position. Lineage: Eukaryota; Fungi; Ascomycota; Sordariomycetes; Diaporthales; Schizoparmaceae. The record is from Rfam by way of RNAcentral.